Megalobrama amblycephala (Wuchang bream) is the source of this 663-nucleotide long non-coding RNA. RefSeq lists it as uncharacterized. Lineage: Eukaryota; Metazoa; Chordata; Actinopteri; Cypriniformes; Xenocyprididae. The transcript is spliced from 3 exons. The record is from RefSeq and is a predicted model, not a curated record.
GUUUGAUUAAGUUUGGAGCUAAACUCUGCAGGACAGCAGCUCUUUAGGACCGAACUUGCCUACCCCUGGGUUAUGGGAAAUGUAGUUCAUGAAGCGGUAAAGGAGACUGAAGCAGACAGUGAUGGUAGCCAUUGACUUGCGUUAUAUGAAUAACCAAGGACUACGGUUUCAGCAAAAAAAUCUUCUUUAUUGUUCUACUGAAGAAAAAAAGACACAUCUUGGAUGACCUGAGGUAAACUCUUCCCAGUUGUCACACCUGCCAGCUGGAGUGCCUAUGAUAGCCACCAGAGGACACUCCUUCACCGCUCCAUUAACUUUACCACUUGAUGAACUUUGCCCACUGCCUGGACUCAUUGUGGUCUCAUUACUUCCUCCUGUGUGUGAUUAACUCAUUUGUGUUUACCUUUAUAAGCUCUGUGUUUCACUUACUCCUUGCGAAGUCUUGUAUGUGUUACACUGCAUUUCUGAGAGUUAUUUCUGGUUUUCCAUGUCAUGGUUUUGAUGAUCUGCUUGUCUCCCUGGUUUAUCUGCUUAUUUCCCUGUUUGAUUGUGUCUUGGUCUCUGUUAUUAUCUGGAUUGUUUGGCCUGUGGUUUUGACCCUAUGUCUGUUAUAUGAAUUACAACUGUGGAUUACCCCUAAUAAAGCUGCGUUUGAAUCUUCAA